Molecule: ribosomal RNA, 655 nt
Filed under: uncultured bacterium
Lineage: Bacteria
Description: bacterial SSU rRNA
Rfam family: Bacterial small subunit ribosomal RNA
Source: RNAcentral
UUGAUCAUGGCUCAGAGUGAACGCUGGCGGCAGGCCUAACACAUGCAAGUCGAACGGCAGCACAGGAGAGCUUGCUCUCUGGGUGGCGAGUGGCGGACGGGUGAGGAUAACGUCGGAAUCUGCCUAUUUGUGGGGGAUAACGUAGGGAAACUUACGCUAAUACCGCAUACGACCUACGGGUGAAAGCGGAGGACCUUCGGGCUUCGCGCAGAUAGAUGAGCCGACGUCGGAUUAGCUAGUUGGCGGGGUAAAGGCCCACCAAGGCGACGAUCCGUAGCUGGUCUGAGAGGAUGAUCAGCCACACUGGAACUGAGACACGGUCCAGACUCCUACGGGAGGCAGCAGUGGGGAAUAUUGGACAAUGGGCGCAAGCCUGAUCCAGCCAUGCCGCGUGUGUGAAGAAGGCCUUCGGGUUGUAAAGCACUUUUGUACGGGAAGAAAAGCACCUGGUUAAUACCCGGGUGUCAUGACGGUACCGUAAGAAUAAGCACCGGCUAACUUCGUGCCAGCAGCCGCGGUAAUACGAAGGGUGCAAGCGUUACUCGGAAUUACUGGGCGUAAAGCGUGCGUAGGUGGUAGUUAAGUCUGAUGUGAAAGCCCUGGGCUCAACCUGGGAAUUGCAUNGGAUACUGGCAGUCUAGAGUGCGGUAGGGUA